AUUACAACUGCCUCACCAGCCACAGUAUGAAUUUUUAUCCUUUGACCAGAUUCACAGCAGGUAAAGGAACUUACAUGCAUUUGAAACAUUUUGCCUUUGGUGAACUGGCAGCUAAGCUCCAGAGCUGGUGAGGUGGGACAUAAAUAGCAAGUGAGCAGACAUAUCUCAGAUCAAUUUUGUGUCACUCGGAAGCAAGGAUGUAAAAAACAGAGUGAUUUUGACAAAAAAUUUCCCCCCAGAAUAUGAAAUGCAAGAGUACUUAAUGAAUUUAUGAAUUGCUCUUUCCUAUAAUACUUGCCUACGCAUAAAUCAGAUCUUACUGAUUUUAUCUUACUUAUUGUGGUUUGGCAGCUUCUAUCAACCAUUUGGAUCUGUGCAGCUGUGUCAUUUUCUGUGACAGCAGUACCAAUGUGUCAGGAGAUCUGGGCACUGAUGAAAAAGGAAGGGAGUUCAAGAAAACACUCUGGGAUUUUAAAAGCAGAUAUUAUGGUUUCUAGCUUAUGACACCAAUCUUCACUAUCAAGAGAGAAUGAACAGAAAAGUUCAUCUCAAUAACUGAAGAUAAUAUCUGGGGUUUUUUUCCCCAGUUUCGCUGUGAGGUUAUGUGCAGCGUUGCUCCAAGGUAUGGAUCUCUCCAACAGCUACAUCUGUUAUUAUUUCAAGGCCAGCUGAGGAGCUAACAUCCUUUAUGCAAAUUAGGAGGAUUCCCGAGGGGUCUGGAUGGCUGCAAAGGAAAGGACUUCACAAAGAUGGGUCCCACCGGUUUCGUGGCACUGGAGAACAUCACACUUUUAUAGCUGGAUUGUACUUGCCUACUUUUGAGCAAAUCCUUCUACAAAUUUGCACCUUCCUGUUAGGCAGUUAAUAUUUCCGUAUUACCUGUUGGGUCAUUUUGUUUCCAGUCUUUGAGUUUGCUUAAUUCUUUUUCCUUGCCAUGUGUAUUUCUCUGUACUAUCCUGCUGAUGCUCUUAUGGCACAAAAGAAACAAGCUGUCCUUCUGAGCCAAUUAUCAAGAUUCCUGGAGCAAUUCACUUAUUAUACAUGAAGAUGUUCAGGGUUUUUUUUCCCCUCCCUUUUUCAUCUGUGUGGUCUCCUCCAUCUUACUUCUCUUUUACCAUCUCCCAUCCUUUUUAUACUUGUUUUUCAAGCAUAAGAUUUGUAUUCCUUUCUCUCACUUCUAAACUUAUUUUCUAAUCACCUUUAGUUUAUGAUUUCAGUCUGUUACUGUAGUGGGUUCUUAAAAUACGCACAUGCAUAUACACACAUAUUUCUUCAAGGUACACCAAAAGUUUUCUGACUUCUGGCUUAACGAGAUUAUCCGAACACAAUAGACAUAUGUUUGUAUGAAAAAGAUUAAAAAUUGAAGAUAGACUGUCCAUCUCACAGGAUUCACUUCUCUCCUGUUUUCUGGAGAAAGAAAUCCACCACAGCUCUUCAUUAUAUAAUGUGUACCUCCUUUAGAAACAUAGUAACAAGUAAAGCUUGUAUCUUUCUCAAAAUUCCAUGUAGCUAAUUCAUUAACCCUUGUGAUACUGAUUGGUCAAUUAAUCUGCUGAUAGGAAACAGGGCAUAGCUGUAAUUCUAGCAGCAUACCUGUAUGUGUUAGGAAUUUCUAGGGCUGAAGGAUGUACUCUUCUAAACAGCAAAGCCAAACUGUUGGCCGAGAGAAGAGCAGACAGAAUUAAUCCAUUUUCUUGGUGUCACUUGAUCUUAAAUAUGACGAGAGGAAGAUGGCAGUUUCUUGCAAAAAAACCCCUUAAUAUUGAUUCA
RNAcentral lists this long non-coding RNA (1770 nucleotides) under Calidris pugnax (ruff). Its description in RNAcentral is "lncRNA (ENSCPUG00000016794.1)". The record is from RNAcentral. Lineage: Eukaryota; Metazoa; Chordata; Aves; Charadriiformes; Scolopacidae.